AUGUACUUUCCUUCCUCAAGUAGUCCUCCUCCUUGGCGUCCUCCGCGGGCGUCCACGAUGCCGGCCGCCAUAGUCGGGACUACGUCGAGCGCGGCCCCCCAACGGGGACUUCUACACGGGGCAGUGGCGCGGCGGCGUGCCGCACGGCGACGGGAAGUACCUGUGGACGGACUGGUGCAUGUACGAGGGGGAGUGGUGGCACGGCAAGGCCACGGGCCGGGGCAAGUUCUCCUGGCCGUCAGGCGCCACCUACAGGGCGAGUUCAAGGACGGCUUCAUGGACGGCGACGACACCUGCACCAUCGCCGCCGGGGACCCAUACAAUGCCUCCUGGUCCAUGAACCUCCAGGAUGGCGACGACAGGAAGAGCUACACCAACAGCGACCAAUACGACGGCGACUCGUGCUCCGGGCUGCGGAUGGCGCCGGCCGCUACAUCUGGCACAACGGGACCGAGUACAGGGGAAGUGGCGGGCCAGCCUCAUCGACGGCUGCGGCGCGCUCGCCUGGGCCGACGGCAACCGCUAUGA
Molecule: ribosomal RNA, 528 nt
Filed under: Triticum aestivum (bread wheat)
Lineage: Eukaryota; Viridiplantae; Streptophyta; Magnoliopsida; Poales; Poaceae
Description: partial small subunit ribosomal RNA
Source: RNAcentral